UGUAGAACAGUUUGUAAAAACUGAUAAGAAAACAACAGCUCCAAGCAGUUUCUUGAAUCCUUUAGAUCUCUCAAUCUGCUUAUCAGAAAACUACACCAACGAGGACUCAGAGGAUUCAUCAGAUGAAGAUUAUGAGCCUAGUUUCAUAAUGACCAUGAGAGAGGACACUCAGACUGAAGCCAUGGUUGAGGACUCUGAAAAUUAGGAUAGCUGUGAUGAGGAAUCAAAUGAUGAUCUUCGCC
Molecule: long non-coding RNA, 242 nt
Organism: Saccostrea cuccullata (small rock oyster)
Lineage: Eukaryota; Metazoa; Mollusca; Bivalvia; Ostreida; Ostreidae
Exons: 3
Source: RefSeq, a predicted model, not a curated record